UUUCGCAAUGCCCGAAAGGGUGACGAAGCGACGCCGCGUGAGCGAAGAAGGCCUUCGGGUUGUAAAGCUCUGUCAGGGGUUAUGAAACGUAAACUGGCUAAUACCUGGUUUAUUUGACAAAGGCCCCAAAGGAAGCCACGGCUAACUCUGUGCCAGCAGCCGCGGUAAUACAGAGGUGGCAAGCGUUGUUCGGUAUUAUUGGGCGUAAAGAGCACGUAGGUGGUUUUGUAAGUCAGAUGUGAAAGCCUUCUGUUCAAAGGAAGAACGGCAUCUGAAACUGCGGAUCUUGAGUGUAGGAGGGGAGAGUGGAACUUCUGGUGGAGCGGUGAAAUGCGUAGAUAUCAGAAGGAACGUCGGCGGCGAAAGCGACUCUCUGGCCUAUUACUGACACUGAGUGUGCGAAAGUUAGGGGAGCAAACGGGAUUAGAUACCCCGGUAGUCCUAACCGUAAACGAUGGGCACUAAGUAGAGGGGUUUUA
Molecule: ribosomal RNA, 479 nt
Filed under: uncultured anaerobic ammonium-oxidizing bacterium
Lineage: Bacteria
Description: bacterial SSU rRNA
Rfam family: Bacterial small subunit ribosomal RNA
Source: RNAcentral